AUCAUUAUUGAUUUUAAUGAAUGGGGUUGCUGCUGGUCCUUGAGAGGGGGCAUGUGCACGCUUCACUUCAUCCAAUCUUUACACCUCUGUGCACUUCUCAUAGGCUGGGAUGGUAUCAUGAAUCUGCCCUUGAAUUUGGGGCAGCAGAGUGAAUUCUGGCCUAUGUGCUUUUUUGCAAUACACUUGUUUGUUACAGAAUGUCAAUAUUGCAUAUGAAAAAAUAUACAACUUUCAGCAACGGAUCUCUUGGCUCUCGCAUCGAUGAAGAACGCAGCGAAAUGCGAUAAGUAAUGUGAAUUGCAGAAUUCAGUGAAUCAUCGAAUCUUUGAACGCACCUUGCGCUCCUUGGUAUUCCGAGGAGCAUGCCUGUUUGAGUGUCAUGGUAUUCUCACUUUUUAUCAUUGUGUUUUGCACAAUUUUAAAGUGGAUGUGGAGGUUCUUUUUGCUGGCUCUGUAGAGUUUCAUUUAUUCUGCAAAGCUUGCUCCUCUCAAAUGCAUUAGCUUGAAUAUUACCAAGCAUAACUCAGCGUGAUAAUUGUCUGCGUUGUGUGUGCUUCUGGUGCUUUAUAAUGUUCUAGCUUCCAAUUGUCUUUUUUUGUUGAGACAGCAUCAUGAGUGAUCAUGAACAUCUGACCUCCAAUCAGGUAGGACUACCCGCUGAACUUAAGCAUAUCAAUAAGCGGAGGAAAAGAAACUAACAAGGAUUCCCCUAGUAACUGCGAGUGAAGCGGGAAAAGCUCAAAUUUAAAAUCUGGCAGCUUUGGCUGUCCGAGUUGUAGUCUGGAGAAGCGUUUUCUGUGUUGGACCAUGUACAAGUCUCUUGGAACAGAGCGUCAUAGAGGGUGAGAAUCCCGUCUUUGACAUGGACUGCCAAUGCUUUGUGAUGCGCUCUCAAAGAGUCGAGUUGUUUGGGAAUGCAGCUCAAAAUGGGUGGUAAAUUCCAUCUAAAGCUAAAUAUUGGCGAGAGACCGAUAGCGAACAAGUACCGUGAGGGAAAGAUGAAAAGCACUUUGGAAAGAGAGUUAAACAGUACGUGAAAUUGCUGAAAGGGAAACGCUUGAAGUCAGUCGCAUGGGCCAGAACUCAGCCUGGCUUUUGUCAGGUGCAUUUUUUGGUUUAUGGGCCAGCAUCAAUUUUGACCGCUGGAGAAAGGCCUUGGGAAGGUGGCACCUUUGGGUGUGUUAUAGCCCCUGGUUGCAUACAGUGGUUGGGAUUGAGGAUCUCAGCAUGCCUUUAUGGUCGGGAUUUAUUCCACGUUUCAUGCUUAGGAUGCUGGCGUAAUGGCUUUAAGCGACCCGUCUUGAAACACGGA
Molecule: ribosomal RNA, 1312 nt
Filed under: Loweomyces tomentosus
Lineage: Eukaryota; Fungi; Basidiomycota; Agaricomycetes; Polyporales; Steccherinaceae
Description: eukaryotic LSU rRNA
Rfam family: Eukaryotic large subunit ribosomal RNA (bases 631-1312)
Source: RNAcentral